Molecule: ribosomal RNA, 820 nt
Filed under: uncultured bacterium
Lineage: Bacteria
Description: bacterial SSU rRNA
Rfam family: Bacterial small subunit ribosomal RNA
Source: RNAcentral
UNUGGCUUGAGUGCAGAAGGGGAGAGUGGAAUUCCAUGUGUAGCGGUGAAAUGCGUAGAUAUAUGGAGGAACACCAGUGGCGAAAGCGGCUCUCUGGUCUGUCACUGACGCUGAGGCUCGAAAGCGUGGGUAGCGAACAGGAUUAGAUACCCUGGUAGUCCACGCCGUAAACGAUGAGUGCUAGGUGUUAGGCCCUUUCCGGGGCUUAGUGCCGGAGCUAACGCAAUAAGCACUCCGCCUGGGGAGUACGACCGCAAGGUUGAAACUCAAAGGAAUUGACGGGGGCCCGCACAAGCGGUGGAGCAUGUGGUUUAAUUCGAAGCAACGCGAAGAACCUUACCAGGUCUUGACAUCCCGAUGCUAUUCUUAGAGAUAGGAAGUUACUUCGGUACAUCGGAGACAGGUGGUGCAUGGUUGUCGUCAGCUCGUGUCGUGAGAUGUUGGGUUAAGUCCCGCAACGAGCGCAACCCUUAUUGUUAGUUGCCAUCAUUAAGUUGGGCACUCUAGCGAGACUGCCGGUAAUAAACCGGAGGAAGGUGGGGAUGACGUCAAAUCAUCAUGCCCCUUAUGACCUGGGCUACACACGUGCUACAAUGGUCGGUACAACGAGUUGCGAGCCGGUGACGGCAAGCUAAUCUCUGAAAGCCGAUCUCAGUUCGGAUUGGAGGCUGCAACUCGCCACCAUGAAGUCGGAAUCGCUAGUAAUCGCGGAUCAGCACGCCGCGGUGAAUACGUUCCCGGGCCUUGUACACACCGCCCGUCACACCACGAGAGUUUGUAACACCCGAAGUCGGUGAGGUAACCUUUUAGGGGCCAGCCG